GCCCGUAUAGCUCAGUGGUAGAGCGCGUCACUCGUAAUGACGAGGUCCGUUGUUCAAUCCAGCGUGUGGGCA
RNAcentral lists this transfer RNA (72 nucleotides) under Pseudozyma flocculosa PF-1. RNAcentral describes it as "tRNA-Thr (CGT) (tRNA-Thr-CGT-2-1, tRNA-Thr-CGT-2-2)". It matches the Rfam family "tRNA". From Rfam's summary of the family: Transfer RNA (tRNA) molecules are approximately 80 nucleotides in length. Their secondary structure includes four short double-helical elements and three loops (D, anti-codon, and T loops). The record is from RNAcentral. Lineage: Eukaryota; Fungi; Basidiomycota; Ustilaginomycetes; Ustilaginales; Ustilaginaceae.